GACGAACGCUGGCGGCGUGCUUAACACAUGCAAGUCGAACGGAAAGGCCCUGCUUUUGUGGGGUGCUCGAGUGGCGAACGGGUGAGUAACACGUGAGUAACCUGCCCUUGACUUUGGGAUAACUUCAGGAAACUGGGGCUAAUACCGGAUAGGAGCUCCUGCUGCAUGGUGGGGGUUGGAAAGUUUCGGCGGUUUGGGAUGGACUCGCGGCUUAUCAGCUGGUUGGUGGGGUAGGUGCUUACCAAGGCUUUGACGGGUAGCCGGCCUGGGAGGGUGACCGGCGACAUUGGGCCUGAGGUACGGCCCAGACUCCUACGGGCGGCAGCAGUGGGGAAUCUUGCGCAAUGGGCGGAAGCGUGAUGCAGCAACGCCGCGUGCGGGAUGACGGGCUUCGGGUUGUAAACCGCUUUCGCCUGUGACGAAGCGUGAGUGACGGUAAUGGGUAAAGAAGCACCGGCUAACUACGUG
Molecule: ribosomal RNA, 468 nt
Filed under: uncultured bacterium
Lineage: Bacteria
Description: partial 16S ribosomal RNA
Rfam family: Bacterial small subunit ribosomal RNA
Source: RNAcentral